This 2379-nucleotide long non-coding RNA is filed under the name Monomorium pharaonis (pharaoh ant). RNAcentral's name for it is "uncharacterized LOC118644974". Lineage: Eukaryota; Metazoa; Arthropoda; Insecta; Hymenoptera; Formicidae. The record is from RNAcentral.
GAACGUGACGGAUGUGAAACGACCCGGCGCUAUAUAGAACGGCAUCGCAAAUCAUCAUAAGUGUAUCAUCGUUGCUAACUAACGAUCCGCAGUUUCUGAGAGGAGGAGGAGGCCUAGGAGAGGCAUCGGGCAUCAGUGGAGCAACUUAGCGUAUCAUCGUUGCUAACUAACGAUUCGCAGUUUCUGAAAGGAGGAGGAGGCCUAUAGGAGAGGCAUCGGGUAUCAGUGGAGCAACUUAGCGAAUCAUCGUAGCGACGCUGCUGCUGAUAACUCCACUGCUGCGCAUCGGUCGGUGAGAGAUAAAGAUUGUAUAUUAAUAAUUAAUUGCAUGUUGCAUGAAUUAGAUUUAUAUAAAAAAUUAUGUGAUAUGAGAGUUUAUAAAUUGUUUUUUUUACAAAAAGAAUGUGUAUAUAAAGUUUAGGAAUUUUAACGCAUUAAGUUUGAUAAAACGCAACGUCUCUUGCAACCAAGAAGAGGCUGAAGAGGAAAUUUAAAUAAGAGACGAAUAAUUAAUUAUUCUAAGAUGUAAGAUGAAACAUUGAAAAGGGAGAGACGUCCUCGAUUAAUGGCUGAUCAUUUUUAAUUAUCCUGAAUUAUUAAUCACUCAAUUUGUAAUAUUUAAUUGUAAUUAUUAAUUAAACAAUUAAUUAAAUUUUAUCUGAUACUGCUGUAUAUGAUUUUAAAUCUUAUAAACUUUUCAUCUUAAUCUUGAUUUGUUGUUACUUAUUAUGUUUAUUCUCAAACGCAUUUUAUAUAAAUGUUUAGAAAUAGUGAUGUGAGAUUCAAAGAGAAUAAAUAAUUUUUAUUUUAAUUAAUAAUUUUAGCUUAUUUAUAUAUUUAAGUUUUAAUGACGUUUCUUUACAUGUAAAAAUAUAUACUUUUUAUAAAUUACAUUAUUGCUUUAUUUGGUCUUCAGCAAGAGAAUCUUGGUGUUAAAUAAUAAUUUUUCUUUGAACUUAAUAUUUGUAGCGUACAUAAUUCUCGCCGACAAAGAACAAUUUAUAGAAAUAAUAUUUUUUAAAUUAUAUAUUUUUUAGUGAAUUUAAUAUUUCCAGUUUAUGAACUAUUCGCCACUUUUUUAAAUCUUGAAAUACCAUUACUACCUAGAUAUCGGUACUCGGGAGCAUCUAUAAAAUUUCUUUCUUUUUCUAAACUAUUGGCAAUAAUUAUUGCGAAAAACUAAUACCUCAAUCAGGACUGGCCAUUCUAAUUGAGAUAUUAUUUUUCGCAAAAGCCGUAAAUAAAUUAUUGGGGAAAUAAUACAUACCUUAGCCAGGACUGACCAUCCUGGUUGAGGAAUUAUUUCUCGCAAUAAACUAUUUACAGUAUUGCAAAAAAUAAUAUCUCAGGACUGGUCAUCCCGACUAAGAAAUUAUUUCUAGCAAUAAAUUAUUUGCAGUAAUUCGGGAAAGGGGGAACUUACAGAUGCAUCACAGCACCGAGCUAAUCCAGUGCAUCAUAGUAUUUAGCUAAUAACUGUUUCAAGACUAAUAAAUCGGCGCGGAUUAUAUACGCUACAAAUAUUAAGUUUACAGAAAAAUUAUUAUUUAGCACCAAGAUUCUCUCGCUGUAGACCAAGAUAAAGCAAUAAUGUAAUUUAAAAAAGUAUAUAUUUCUACAUGUGAAGAAAUGUCAUUAAAACUUAAGUAUAUAAAUAAGAUAAAAUUAUCAUAUUAAUUUAAAUAAAAAUUAUUUAAGUAUUCCCUUUGAAUCUCACAUCGCUAUUUCUGAACAUUUACAUGAAAUACGUUUGAGUAUAAACAUAAUAAGUAACAACAAAUCAAGAUUGAGAUGAAAAUUUUAUAAGAUUUAAAAUCAUAUACAGCAGUAUUAGACAAAAUUCAAUUAAUUGCUUAAUUAAUAAUUACAAUUAAUUAUUACAAAUUAAGUGAUUAAUAAUUAGGGGUAAUUAAAAAUAAUCAGCGAUUAAUCGAGGACGUCUCUGCCUUUUCCAUCUUUCAUCUUAUAAUCGUGAUUGAUUAUUUGUCUGUUACUUAAAUUUUCUCUUUAUGGCCUUUUCCUGGUUGCAAAGAGGCCAUAAAAAAAUUGCGUUUUAUCGCACUGCCUCUUAAUGCGUUAAAAUUCCUGAACUUUAUAUAUUACACAUUCUUAUUUGAUUUGCCAUCGGGGCAUUACGAGGCAGUACGCAACCAUUUCCUGCUUCUGUUGGUAACGUUAAAAACAGAAACUUUUUAGCUUCUUUUUUUGCUUAAUAUUUUCGUACUGGGGCGCGUGAGCGAUUCUCAAUGUAAGGGCGCGUAAGCGAGUUGUAAUGGCACCGUUUGCCAUUACUUAAAUUAUCUGGCUGUCGUGCAGCCAGAAUUGAUUUAGCCAGGAUCAACGAAAGGUGAGUCCAAUCUGGCCGGAAGAAAGAAGAAA